GCGGAAGUGGUGGAAUUGGUAGACACGCCAUCUUGAGGGGGUGGUGACUUAGGUCGUGGGGGUUCGAGUCCCCCUUUCCGCACCA
This 85-nucleotide transfer RNA is filed under the name Brumicola nitratireducens FR1064. RNAcentral describes it as "tRNA-Leu (GAG) (tRNA-Leu-GAG-1-1)". It matches the Rfam family "tRNA". From Rfam's summary of the family: Transfer RNA (tRNA) molecules are approximately 80 nucleotides in length. Their secondary structure includes four short double-helical elements and three loops (D, anti-codon, and T loops). RNAcentral also lists the same sequence under 3 other names. The record is from RNAcentral. Lineage: Bacteria; Pseudomonadati; Pseudomonadota; Gammaproteobacteria; Alteromonadales; Alteromonadaceae.